UACGAAGGGGGCUAGCGUUGCUCGGAAUCACUGGGCGUAAAGGGUGCGUAGGCGGGUCUUUAAGUCAGGGGUGAAAUCCUGGAGCUCAACUCCAGAACUGCCUUUGAUACUGAGGAUCUUGAGUUCGGGAGAGGUGAGUGGAACUGCGAGUGUAGAGGUGAAAUUCGUAGAUAUUAGCAAGAACACCAGUGGCGAAGGCGGCUCACUGGCCCGAUACCGACGCUGAGGCACGAAAGCGUGGGGAGCAAACAGG
This 253-nucleotide ribosomal RNA is filed under the name uncultured bacterium. RNAcentral's name for it is "partial 16S ribosomal RNA". It matches the Rfam family "Bacterial small subunit ribosomal RNA", at positions 524 to 776 of the family's 1533-position model. The record is from RNAcentral.